GGGGGCGUGGUCAAGCGCCCGUCCGGGAGAGAAAAGCGGUAAGGGCGCUUACACCUGAGCUAAAUUAUGUCUAACACCUGUGUCUAAUUGCAGUAAGCAUGGGGAGAGCAGCAUAAAAGAGCAGCAGCCACAGGGCCUCGAGAGAGAGAGUGCCUACACCCAGACCAGCAGUUACAGAGAAAGCAACAUGCACCUGUGGGGCAGUGCUGCAUGCAGAGUGUGCAGCCACACAGAUGUGCUACAUAUGUCAAGUUGGCACUGACCUGUUAUCCUUACCCUCUAAAUCUGCAGAAGACUCUCCACCACAACAGGGCGGAGCAUUGAAAGAAUGAAAAUAAAUCUGCAAAACAUUGGUCCUGAAUCGGAGCUGGAUUUGGUAACUCACCGCUUUGGGCCCACAGCGGCUGAUGUUUUCUUUUCCUUUUUAGAGGACUGUUUGAAAUGAACUCAGUGCCC
Molecule: long non-coding RNA, 456 nt
Organism: Xyrauchen texanus (razorback sucker)
Lineage: Eukaryota; Metazoa; Chordata; Actinopteri; Cypriniformes; Catostomidae
Exons: 4
Source: RefSeq, a predicted model, not a curated record